This 1478-nucleotide ribosomal RNA is filed under the name Triticum aestivum (bread wheat). Its description in RNAcentral is "partial small subunit ribosomal RNA". Lineage: Eukaryota; Viridiplantae; Streptophyta; Magnoliopsida; Poales; Poaceae. The record is from RNAcentral.
GCGGGGAGGGGGUUUUAAAGGACGAGGAGAGGGGUAGGGGGUAACAGCGAUGGGUGGUCUAGCCUCCAGGAGGACGAGGUCGGUCCAGUUUGCGGCGGGGGAGGAGUAGACGCCAUAGGGCCGCCGGCGGAGUGAGUGUUGGAAGAGGAGGCACCGAGUUAGGCGAGCUUGCGGAGGUGCUUGGGAUCCGCUGUUGCCGCCGCUGCCGGGGCCCCUGCCUCCGGCGGCGUAUUCGCCCUCUUGUAUAGCCACGCGGCGGAGCAGGAGGUGCUUAGGCCGUCUCCUUGUAUGACCACGCGGCGGAGCAGGAGGUGCUUAGGCCGUCUCCUUGUAUGACCACGCGGCGGUGGAGGACGGCCUCCUCUGCCCGCGGUGACAGGACAGCCGCGGUAUGACGGAGUAGGGAUCCCAAGCCCACCGGAGCAGCGGCAGAAAACGAGGCGGCCACUGCGGAGUGCACCCUAAAUAACAAAAGACGACACGACCUAUCUUUCUAAGGAACCAGAGCUGGUCAUUUGGAGGUUAGGUUGUACAGGGGGUACCUCACCAAAGUCGUUCCUUCUACCUCUCGGGUAAGAGAGUGAGUGUUCCCAACUGUAGAGAAACAGGGAAAGUCUUAGACUCAAUAAACUACAUCUUUAACACCGACUCCUAGCAGGUUACCUCUAAGGACUAGGGGUUAAGAACCCAUAGCUCUUAUUGUGCUUAGAGUUCACGGUGGUACCCUCGACGACCUCUCCUUCUAUCGAAAGCCGUACCGACGCUGUCCGUUCUCCUAAAAACCGUUUACUCUUCUCUAGAAGUUACUUUAAUAGUAAGAUAUGGUAAGAAUCUAAUCCAAGAGAUUCACAACAGCACUGAAAUCGGUGAAAACAGGAAUACAAAAAACGUAUUAAGCUAACGAAACACCAAUUACACAUUUUUCGACAUACUAGUUUAAUAAUGAUAGGUAAAGAUAGCCGGAUAUUCAACAGACAGUACGUCGAACUUAAGAUUGAAUCACUAAAUACCUCUAUACACUUACCGUACUCCGUUGUCUAUAACGGUAACAAUAGCUCUACUGUUGUCUAUAAUGACCUACAUGUGCCCAAGACAUAAAACGGUUAGGACAUCAAACUAUGAGGUAACCCAAGUAGACGCCGUCCUGUAGUAAUUCAAAUUACACCUACCCGGGGUACAGGACCGAUCGUCGUACCUUGAACCCCGCAAUAACGGUCUCUAAGUCUUCCAGUUUAACACCGACGGUCCCGACACGGAACUUACACAUACUACGUAAACGGCGACUUGACGUUCGUCGCCUACUACCACCUCUGUCUUCGUGUCGACCAACUCGUUCGUCAUUUGUCCGUACGUGGACUAUAGAGGUUCCUUCAGGUCCGCUAUCUUCUGUAGUUUCAUGUCCGGUUUGAGACCAAGUGGAGUACACUCAAAGAAGUGACAUUCGAACAACGUUUACACGGAUGGGUGAGAGAUCGCGU